UUCUGAGAGGAUUCACAGAUUGAGAGUUUAUUUCGUGAUUCAGUGGAUGGUAGUGCAUGUCCGUUCUUACUUGGUGGAGGGAUUUGUCUGGUUAAUUCCGAUAAUGAACGAGACUCUAGCCUAUUAGAUAGGUGCGUGGUUCUCUGCACCUUGCACCCUUCUUAGAAGGACAAGCGGUUCCUAGCCGCACGAAACAGAGCAUUAACAGGUCUGUGAUAUCAUUAGAU
Molecule: ribosomal RNA, 227 nt
Filed under: Ixodes scapularis (black-legged tick)
Lineage: Eukaryota; Metazoa; Arthropoda; Arachnida; Ixodida; Ixodidae
Description: eukaryotic small subunit ribosomal RNA
Rfam family: Eukaryotic small subunit ribosomal RNA
Source: RNAcentral